Molecule: ribosomal RNA, 253 nt
Filed under: uncultured bacterium
Lineage: Bacteria
Description: partial 16S ribosomal RNA
Rfam family: Bacterial small subunit ribosomal RNA
Source: RNAcentral
UACGUAGGUGACAAGCGUUGUCCGGAUUUACUGGGCGUAAAGAGCGCGCAGGCGGUCGAUCAAGUCGAGUGUGAAAGCCCACGGCUCAACUGGGGAGGGUCAUUCGAUACUGAUCGACUCGAAGGCAGGAGAGGGUAGUGGAAUUCCCGGUGUAGUGGUGAAAUGCGUAGAUAUCGGGAGGAACACCAGUGGCGAAGGCGACUACCUGGCCUGUUCUUGACGCUGAGGAGCGAAAGCGUGGGGAGCGAACAGG